CCCUUAGAUGUUCUGGGCCGCACGCGCGCUACACUGUCCGACGCAGCGAGUCUUAACCUUGACCGAAAGGUUUGGGUAAUCUUCAGCAAAGUCGAACGUGAUGGGGAUCGAUCAUUGCAAUUAUUGAUCGUGAACGAGGAAUUCCUAGUAAGUGCAAGUCAUCAGCUUGCGCUGAUUACGUCCCUGCCCUCUGUACACACCGCCCGUCGCUACUACCGAUUGAAUGGUUUAGUGAGAUCUCUGGAUUGACGCUGGCUAGGGGGCGACCCUUGGCCAGGCUGUCGAGAAACUGCUCAAACUUGAUCAUUUAGAGGAAGUAAAAGUCGUAACA
Molecule: ribosomal RNA, 331 nt
Filed under: uncultured eukaryote
Lineage: Eukaryota
Description: partial 18S ribosomal RNA
Rfam family: Eukaryotic small subunit ribosomal RNA
Source: RNAcentral